UGGGGAAUAUUGCACAAUGGGCGAAAGCCUGAUGCAGCAACGCCGCGUGAGUGAUGAAGGUCUUCGGAUUGUAAAGCUCUGUCUUUUGGGACGAUAAUGACGGUACCAAAGGAGGAAGCCACGGCUAACUACGUGCCAGCAGCCGCGGUAAUACGUAGGUGGCGAGCGUUGUCCGGAUUUACUGGGCGUAAAGGGUGCGUAGGCGGAUGUCUAAGUGAGAUGUGAAAUACCCGGGCUUAACUUGGGUGCUGCAUUUCAAACUGGAUAUCUAGAGUGCAGGAGAGGAGAAUGGAAUUCCUAGUGUAGCGGUGAAAUGCGUAGAGAUUAGGAAGAACACCAGUGGCGAAGGCGAUUCUCUGGACUGUAACUGACGCUGAGGCACGAAAGCGUGGGUAGCAAACAGGAUUAGAUACCCUGGUAGUCCACGCCGUAAACGAUGAGUACUAGGUGUAGGAGGUAUCGACCCCUUCUGUGCCGCAGUAAACACAUUAAGUACUCCGCCUGGGAAGUACGAUCGCAAGAU
This 523-nucleotide ribosomal RNA is filed under the name uncultured bacterium. RNAcentral's name for it is "partial 16S ribosomal RNA". It matches the Rfam family "Bacterial small subunit ribosomal RNA", at positions 355 to 894 of the family's 1533-position model. The record is from RNAcentral.